Molecule: long non-coding RNA, 222 nt
Filed under: Homo sapiens (human)
Lineage: Eukaryota; Metazoa; Chordata; Mammalia; Primates; Hominidae
Description: HSALNT0407631
Source: RNAcentral
ACUAAAUUCACAUCAGAAUGUCACCAUGUAUAAUCCAUUAUUGGGGGCCCCAAAUCAUAGUUGCCAAUAUCAGCAGUGAGGGGAUAAAAGAAACCAUGGAGGCCGGGCACGGUGGCUCACACCUGUAAUCCCAGCACUUUGGGAGGCCGAGGCGGGCGAAUCACGAGGUCAGGAGUUCGAGACCAGCCUGGCCAACAUAGUGAAACCUCAUCUCUACCAAAA